Molecule: ribosomal RNA, 439 nt
Filed under: uncultured bacterium
Lineage: Bacteria
Description: partial 16S ribosomal RNA
Rfam family: Bacterial small subunit ribosomal RNA
Source: RNAcentral
CUACGGGUGGCUGCAGUGAGGAAUAUUGCACAAUGGGGGGAACCCUGAUGCAGCAACGCCGCGUGGAGGAUGACGCAUUUCGGUGUGUACACUCCUUUUAUAUGUCAAGAAAAUGACGGUAGCAUAUGAAUAAGCACCGGCUAACUCCGUGCCAGCAGCCGCGGUAAUAAGGAGGGUGCAAGCGUUACUCGGAAUCACUGGGCGUAAAGGACGCGUAGGCGGGUUGGAAAGUCAGGUGUGAAAUCCUACAGCUUAACUGUAGAACGGCACUUGAAACUUCUAAUCUAGAGUAUGGGAGGGGGAGAUGGAAUUAGUGGUGUAGGGGUAAAAUCCGUAGAUAUCACUAGGAAUACCUAAAGCGAAGGCGAUCUCCUGGAACAUUACUGACGCUAAGGCGUGAAAGCGUGGGGAGCAAACAGGAUUAGAUACCCCCGUAGUC